This is a long non-coding RNA of Drosophila suzukii, 907 nucleotides long. RefSeq lists it as uncharacterized. Lineage: Eukaryota; Metazoa; Arthropoda; Insecta; Diptera; Drosophilidae. The record is from RefSeq and is a predicted model, not a curated record.
AUUUUAGAAAAUAUGUUAUACUGGCUCGCACACACUUUAUCUUUAAUAUUAGCAAGAUUAUUUCAUGAGAAUCGAAAAAAAUGUUCGGUUUAAUUAUCGCUCACACCUAUUUCCGCCGGUCCGGCAUCUCUGUCAGCUGAGAUUGAUAAAAUGCAUGAAUUCGGCCGCGUCGCAUAAACAGGAGCAAAUUUUAUUUCACGCUUUCAAGAAAUCAUGAAACCCUUAGCAUAAACAUAGUAACAGAUACACUGUAUCUGAUACAGUAAAACGCCCAGCCAUGCCAUGGGAUAAACGUAUUGAUGUUGCCCUUUAUUCGCUUGGGUUAUUGGAAUGCAUAACUAUUGACAGAUUAUUUAAAAACCUUGGUUUGCAAAACUAUGGUUGCCAUAUAGAAAAACGGCCCACGGCCCAGAACGAAACGGCAACUCGCGGUCGGAUGUUCAGGACAAUGUCACGACUCACAAAUUUACAUAAAGAAUAUUUUCGCCGAAAAUCGAGCCUUUAACUACAAUUUGUCUAAGUGUCGACGUGUUGUUGAAAAUGCAUUCGGACAGUUGAAAACUCUGUUUCGGAUAAUCGGAAGGGCCUCGAUCAUAUUACAAGAACAAACAAUUUGAUAAUAUGCUGCUACAUGCUCCACAAUUUCUUAAAUAUGAGCAACAGCUUUAUUCAAUCAAGAUGGGCAACGGAACUCAAAGAAGUUCGCCAGCAACCUGAAAAUGCGAAGUCAGAACGCAGAAGCCGAAGCUAUUCGACAAGCACUUGCAGUGCACGUUGAUGAACCAGACAACUAAAUAAGGAAUUAUUGUGCGAAACUGACUGAAGCGAAAACCCCUUGGGUGUGAAUAGGGUAUGAGGACUGUAAACUAGAGUACUACCAAAAUUAUAAAAUAUAUUAAAUGCAACG